UUAAUGAGAGUUUGAUCCUGGCUCAGGACGAACGCUGGCGGCGUGCCUAAUACAUGCAAGUAGAACGCUGAAGGAGAAGCUUGCUUCUCUGGAUGAGUUGCGAACGGGUGAGUAACGCGUAGGUAACCUGCCUGGUAGCGGGGGAUAACUAUUGGAAACGAUAGCUAAUACCGCAUAAGAGUGGAUGUUGCAUGACAUUUGCUUAAAAGGUGCACUUGCAUCACUACCAGAUGGACCUGCGUUGUAUUAGCUAGUUGGUGGGGUAACGGCUCACCAAGGCGACGAUACAUAGCCGACCUGAGAGGGUGAUCGGCCACACUGGGACUGAGACACGGCCCAGACUCCUACGGGAGGCAGCAGUAGGGAAUCUUCGGCAAUGGACGGAAGUCUGACCGAGCAACGCCGCGUGAGUGAAGAAGGUUUUCGGAUCGUAAAGCUCUGUUGUAAGAGAAGAACGAGUGUGAGAGUGGAAAGUUCACACUGUGACGGUAUCUUACCAGAAAGGGACGGCUAACUACGUGCCAGCAGCCGCGGUAAUACGUAGGUCCCGAGCGUUGUCCGGAUUUAUUGGGCGUAAAGCGAGCGCAGGCGGUUAGAUAAGUCUGAAGUUAAAGGCUGUGGCUUAACCAUAGUAGGCUUUGGAAACUGUUUAACUUGAGUGCAAGAGGGGAGAGUGGAAUUCCAUGUGUAGCGGUGAAAUGCGUAGAUAUAUGGAGGAACACCGGUGGCGAAAGCGGCUCUCUGGCUUGUAACUGACGCUGAGGCUCGAAAGCGUGGGGAGCAAACAGGAUUAGAUACCCUGGUAGUCCACGCUGUAAACGAUGAGUGCUAGGUGUUAGACCCUUUCCGGGGUUUAGUGCCGUAGCUAACGCAUUAAGCACUCGCCUGGGGAGUACGACCGCAAGGUUGAAACUCAAAGGAAUUGACGGGGGCCCGCCACCAAAGCGGUGGAGCCAUGUGGUUUUAAUUCGAAAGACACGCGAAGACCUUACCAGGUCUUGACAUCCUCUGACCGCUCUUCUAGAGAUAGAGUUUUCCUUCGGGACAGAGGUGUGACGGGUGGUGCAUGGGUUGUCGUCAGCUCGUGUCGUGAGAUGUUUGGGGUUUAAGUCCCGCAACGAGCCGCAACCCCUAUUGUUAGUUGCCAUCAUUUUAGUUGGGCACUCUAGCGAGACUGCCGGUAAUAAACCGGAGGAAGGUGGGGAUGAGACGUCAAAUCAUCAUGCCCCUUAUGACCUGGGCUACACACGUGCUACAAUGGCUGGUACAACGAGUCGCAAGCCGGUGACGGCAAGCUAAUCUCUUAAAGCCAGUCUCAGUUCGGAUUGUAGGCUGCAACUCGCCUACAUGAAGUCGGAAUCGCUAGUAAUCGCGGAUCAGCACGCCGCGGUGGAAUACGUUCCCGGGCCUUGUACACACCCGCCCGUCACACCACGAGAGUUUGUAACACCCGAAGUCGGUGAGGUAACCGUAAGGAGCCAGCCGCCUAAGGUGGGAUAGAUGAUUGGGGUGAAGUCGUAAGCAAGGUAGCCGUAUCGGAAAGGGUGCGGCUGGAUCACCUCCUUUCUAAGGA
RNAcentral lists this ribosomal RNA (1573 nucleotides) under Streptococcus pneumoniae K2521. Its description in RNAcentral is "bacterial SSU rRNA". It matches the Rfam family "Bacterial small subunit ribosomal RNA". The record is from RNAcentral. Lineage: Bacteria; Bacillati; Bacillota; Bacilli; Lactobacillales; Streptococcaceae.